This 121-nucleotide ribosomal RNA is filed under the name Coxiella-like endosymbiont. Lineage: Bacteria; Pseudomonadati; Pseudomonadota; Gammaproteobacteria; Legionellales; Coxiellaceae. The record is from RNAcentral.
UUUCCUGGCGGCCAUAGCGAGCGGGUCCCACCUGAUCCCAUUCCGAACUCAGAAGUGAAAAUGCUCAGCGCCGAUGAUAGUAUGGUUUAUUUCCAUGUGAAAGUAGGUCACUGCCAGGAUU